CCCCCAGUAGCGGCGAGCGAACGGGGAGGAGCCCAGAGCCUGAAUCAGUGUGUGUGUUAGUGGAAGCGUCUGGAAAGGCGCGCGAUACAGGGUGACAGCCCCGUACACAAAAAUGCACAUGCUGUGAGCUCGAUGAGUAGGGCGGGACACGUGGUAUCCUGUCUGAAUAUGGGGGGACCAUCCUCCAAGGCUAAAUACUCCUGACUGACCGAUAGUGAACCAGUACCGUGAGGGAAAGGCGAAAAGAACCCCGGCGAGGGGAGUGAAAAAGAACCUGAAACCGUGUACGUACAAGCAGUGGGAGCACGCUUAGGCGUGUGACUGCGUACCUUUUGUAUAAUGGGUCAGCGACUUAUAUUCUGUAGCAAGGUUAACCGAAUAGGGGAGCCGAAGGGAAACCGAGUCUUAACUGGGCGUUAAGUUGCAGGGUAUAGACCCGAAACCCGGUGAUCUAGCCAUGGGCAGGUUGAAGGUUGGGUAACACUAACUGGAGGACCGAACCGACUAAUGUUGAAAAAUUAGCGGAUGACUUGUGGCUGGGGGUGAAAGGCCAAUCAAACCGGGAGAUAGCUGGUUCUCCCCGAAAGCUAUUUAGGUAGCGCCUCGUGAAUUCAUCUCCGGGGGUAGAGCACUGUUUCGGCAAGGGGGUCAUCCCGACUUACCAACCCGAUGCAAACUGCGAAUACCGGAGAAUGUUAUCACGGGAGACACACGGCGGGUGCUAACGUCCGUCGUGAAGAGGGAAACAACCCAGACCGCCAGCUAAGGUCCCAAAGUCAUGGUUAAGUGGGAAACGAUGUGGGAAGGCCCAGACAGCCAGGAUGUUGGCUUAGAAGCAGCCAUCAUUUAAAGAAAGCGUAAUAGCUCACUGGUCGAGUCGGCCUGCGCGGAAGAUGUAACGGGGCUAAACCAUGCACCGAAGCUGCGGCAGCGACACUGUGUGUUGUUGGGUAGGGGAGCGUUCUGUAAGCCUGUGAAGGUGUACUGUGAGGUAUGCUGGAGGUAUCAGAAGUGCGAAUGCUGACAUAAGUAACGAUAAAGCGGGUGAAAAGCCCGCUCGCCGGAAGACCAAGGGUUCCUGUCCAACGUUAAUCGGGGCAGGGUGAGUCGACCCCUAAGGCGAGGCCGAAAGGCGUAGUCGAUGGGAAACAGGUUAAUAUUCCUGUACUUGGUGUUACUGCGAAGGGGGGACGGAGAAGGCUAUGUUGGCCGGGCGACGGUUGUCCCGGUUUAAGCGUGUAGGCUGGUUUUCCAGGCAAAUCCGGAAAAUCAAGGCUGAGGCGUGAUGACGAGGCACUACGGUGCUGAAGCAACAAAUGCCCUGCUUCCAGGAAAAGCCUCUAAGCAUCAGGUAACAUCAAAUCGUACCCCAAACCGACACAGGUGGUCAGGUAGAGAAUACCAAGGCGCUUGAGAGAACUCGGGUGAAGGAACUAGGCAAAAUGGUGCCGUAACUUCGGGAGAAGGCACGCUGAUAUGUAGGUGAAGCGACUUGCUCGUGGAGCUGAAAUCAGUCGAAGAUACCAGCUGGCUGCAACUGUUUAUUAAAAACACAGCACUGUGCAAACACGAAAGUGGACGUAUACGGUGUGACGCCUGCCCGGUGCCGGAAGGUUAAUUGAUGGGGUUAGCGGUAACGCGAAGCUCUUGAUCGAAGCCCCGGUAAACGGCGGCCGUAACUAUAACGGUCCUAAGGUAGCGAAAUUCCUUGUCGGGUAAGUUCCGACCUGCACGAAUGGCGUAAUGAUGGCCAGGCUGUCUCCACCCGAGACUCAGUGAAAUUGAACUCGCUGUGAAGAUGCAGUGUACCCGCGGCAAGACGGAAAGACCCCGUGAACCUUUACUAUAGCUUGACACUGAACAUUGAGCCUUGAUGUGUAGGAUAGGUGGGAGGCUUUGAAGUGUGGACGCCAGUCUGCAUGGAGCCGACCUUGAAAUACCACCCUUUAAUGUUUGAUGUUCUAACGUGGACCCGUGAUCCGGGUUGCGGACAGUGUCUGGUGGGUAGUUUGACUGGGGCGGUCUCCUCCUAAAGAGUAACGGAGGAGCACGAAGGUUGGCUAAUCCUGGUCGGACAUCAGGAGGUUAGUGCAAUGGCAUAAGCCAGCUUGACUGCGAGCGUGACGGCGCGAGCAGGUGCGAAAGCAGGUCAUAGUGAUCCGGUGGUUCUGAAUGGAAGGGCCAUCGCUCAACGGAUAAAAGGUACUCCGGGGAUAACAGGCUGAUACCGCCCAAGAGUUCAUAUCGACGGCGGUGUUUGGCACCUCGAUGUCGGCUCAUCACAUCCUGGGGCUGAAGUAGGUCCCAAGGGUAUGGCUGUUCGCCAUUUAAAGUGGUACGCGAGCUGGGUUUAGAACGUCGUGAGACAGUUCGGUCCCUAUCUGCCGUGGGCGCUGGAGAACUGAGGGGGGCUGCUCCUAGUACGAGAGGACCGGAGUGGACGCAUCACUGGUGUUCGGGUUGUCAUGCCAAUGGCACUGCCCGGUAGCUAAAUGCGGAAGAGAUAAGUGCUGAAAGCAUCUAAGCACGAAACUUGCCCCGAGAUGAGUUCUCCCUGACUCCUUGAGAGUCCUGAAGGAACGUUGAAGACGACGACGUUGAUAGGCCGGGUGUGUAAGCGCAGCGAUGCGUUGAGCUAACCGGUACUAAUGAACCGUGAGGCUUAACCU
RNAcentral lists this ribosomal RNA (2669 nucleotides) under Escherichia coli 2-316-03_S3_C1. RNAcentral describes it as "bacterial LSU rRNA". It matches the Rfam family "Bacterial large subunit ribosomal RNA". The record is from RNAcentral. Lineage: Bacteria; Pseudomonadati; Pseudomonadota; Gammaproteobacteria; Enterobacterales; Enterobacteriaceae.